RNAcentral lists this unclassified non-coding RNA (306 nucleotides) under Hevea brasiliensis (rubber tree). Lineage: Eukaryota; Viridiplantae; Streptophyta; Magnoliopsida; Malpighiales; Euphorbiaceae. The record is from RNAcentral.
GUAUGAGAUAACGUAUGGGGUUUGAUUAGUCAAGGAACACCAUGAGCCACCAUAUAAUGGAUAAAACUAAAUCAAAAGAUUUGCAGCCAAGAAUGGUCAGAAAAACUGACCCUAUGAGCCAGAAACGCAAGGAUUUUCACAAAGCAUGUCGGAAUAGUCGUGAAUAUUAUUGCCACCAUAAUAGGGGAGAGCUCAUAACCUGUGUGCCAUACUAUCCCUCUGCACCAUUUUGGUCUUCUUCUCCUUCAGCUGACUGCUUUUGCUUUUCCUGUUCCUCCAUAAGCUUAUAUAAUGCUUUCUGAGUAC